ACUCCUACGGGAGGCAGCAGUGGGGAAUAUUGGACAAUGGGCGAAAGCCUGAUCCAGCAAUGCCGCGUGUGUGAAGAAGGCCUUCGGGUUGUAAAGCACUUUUAUCAGGAGCGAAAUACUGCCGGCUAAUACCUGGCGGGGCUGACGGUAC
Molecule: ribosomal RNA, 151 nt
Filed under: Dyella marensis
Lineage: Bacteria; Pseudomonadati; Pseudomonadota; Gammaproteobacteria; Lysobacterales; Rhodanobacteraceae
Description: partial 16S ribosomal RNA
Rfam family: Bacterial small subunit ribosomal RNA
Source: RNAcentral